CCCUUAGAUGUUCUGGGCCGCACGCGCGCUACACUGACGGAUUCAACGAGCUUACAACCUUGGCCGAAAGGUCUGGGUAAUCUCCAAAAUCCGUCGUGAUGGGGAUAGAUUAUUGCAAUUAUUAAUCUUCAACGAGGAAUGCCUAGUAAGCGCAAGUCAUCAGCUUGCGUUGAUUACGUCCCUGCCCUUUGUACACACCGCCCGUCGCUCCUACCGAUUGAACGUUCCGAUGAAUACCAUGGAUUGAGAGUCUGAAUGGGUUCGCCUAUUUCUGCUUCUCGAGAAGUGGAGUAAAUCUUAGCGUUUAGAGGAAGGAGAAGUCGUAACA
RNAcentral lists this ribosomal RNA (328 nucleotides) under uncultured eukaryote. Its description in RNAcentral is "partial 18S ribosomal RNA". It matches the Rfam family "Eukaryotic small subunit ribosomal RNA", at positions 1470 to 1796 of the family's 1831-position model. The record is from RNAcentral.